Molecule: non-coding RNA, 90 nt
Organism: Nicotiana sylvestris (wood tobacco)
Lineage: Eukaryota; Viridiplantae; Streptophyta; Magnoliopsida; Solanales; Solanaceae
Source: Rfam
CCUCAGUGAUGAACAACAAAGAUGACGAGUCUGAUUGAAAUCCAUUCAAUUUAAAUCGUGAGGACAAUACGAGGCAUUUGUCUGAGAGGA